CUACGGGCGGCUCCAGUGGGGAAUAUUGGGCAAUGGGCGCAAGCCUGACCCAGCAACGCCGCGUGAGGGAAGAAGGUUUUCGGAUUGUAAACCUCUGUCCUUGGGGACGAAAAAAAUGACGGUACCCAAGGAGGAAGCUCCGGCUAACUACGUGCCAGCAGCCGCGGUAAUACGUAGGGAGCGAGCGUUGUCCGGAAUUACUGGGCGUAAAGGGUGCGUAGGCUGCAUAUUAAGUCAGGUGUGAAAUACUCGGGCUCAACCCGGGGGCUGCACUUGAAACUGGUGUGCUUGAGUGCGAGAGAGGAAAGUGGAAUUCCUAGUGUAGCGGUGAAAUGCGUAGAUAUUAGGAGGAACACCAGUGGCGAAGGCGACUUUCUGGCUCGUAACUGACGCUGAGGCACGAAAGCGUGGGGAGCAAACAGGACUAGAUACCCUCGUAGUC
Molecule: ribosomal RNA, 442 nt
Filed under: uncultured bacterium
Lineage: Bacteria
Description: partial 16S ribosomal RNA
Rfam family: Bacterial small subunit ribosomal RNA
Source: RNAcentral